Molecule: unclassified non-coding RNA, 377 nt
Filed under: Hevea brasiliensis (rubber tree)
Lineage: Eukaryota; Viridiplantae; Streptophyta; Magnoliopsida; Malpighiales; Euphorbiaceae
Source: RNAcentral
GGGAGGGAAAGCCUAACCAAGUGGUUUUCUCCUUGUAGAAAACUAGGACUUGCAGCAGAACAUGGCUACUUUUUGAGAUGGGAACUAGAACAGAAAUGGGAAGUAUGCAGUCAGACCUCUGAUUUUGGUUGGAUGCAACUUGCUGAACCCGUGAUGCAAUCCUAUACAGACGCUACAGAUGGUUCUUGCAUAGAAAGAAAGGAAAGUGCUAUAGUGUGGCAGUAUCGUGAUGCAGAUUCUGGAUUUGGGUUUUCUCAGGCAAAGGAGAUGCUUGAUCAUCUGGAGAGUGUUUUAGCGAAUGAACCCGUUGCCGUGAAAAGCGGUCAGCACAUUGUGGAAGUAAAGCCUCAGGGGGUCACCAAAGGUUUAGUUGCAGA